Molecule: ribosomal RNA, 1528 nt
Filed under: Salmonella enterica subsp. enterica serovar Hadar
Lineage: Bacteria; Pseudomonadati; Pseudomonadota; Gammaproteobacteria; Enterobacterales; Enterobacteriaceae
Description: partial 23S ribosomal RNA
Rfam family: Bacterial large subunit ribosomal RNA
Source: RNAcentral
CGAAUGCUGACAUAAGUAACGAUAAAGCGGGUGAAAAGCCCGCUCGCCGGAAGACCAAGGGUUCCUGUCCAACGUUAAUCGGGGCAGGGUGAGUCGACCCCUAAGGCGAGGCCGAAAGGCGUAGUCGAUGGGAAACGGGUUAAUAUUCCCGUACUUGGUGUUACUGCGAAGGGGGGACGGAGAAGGCUAUGUUGGCCGGGCGACGGUUGUCCCGGUUUAAGCGUGUAGGUGUGUGUUCCAGGUAAAUCCGGUUCACUUUAACACUGAGGCGUGACGACGAGGCACUACGGUGCUGAAGCAACAAAUGCCCUGCUUCCAGGAAAAGCCUCUAAGCAUCAGGUAACAUCAAAUCGUACCCCAAACCGACACAGGUGGUCAGGUAGAGAAUACCAAGGCGCUUGAGAGAACUCGGGUGAAGGAACUAGGCAAAAUGGUGCCGUAACUUCGGGAGAAGGCACGCUGACACGUAGGUGAAGUGAUUUACUCAUGGAGCUGAAGUCAGUCGAAGAUACCAGCUGGCUGCAACUGUUUAUUAAAAACACAGCACUGUGCAAACACGAAAGUGGACGUAUACGGUGUGACGCCUGCCCGGUGCCGGAAGGUUAAUUGAUGGGGUCAGCGCAAGCGAAGCUCCUGAUCGAAGCCCCGGUAAACGGCGGCCGUAACUAUAACGGUCCUAAGGUAGCGAAAUUCCUUGUCGGGUAAGUUCCGACCUGCACGAAUGGCGUAAUGAUGGCCAGGCUGUCUCCACCCGAGACUCAGUGAAAUUGAACUCGCUGUGAAGAUGCAGUGUACCCGCGGCAAGACGGAAAGACCCCGUGAACCUUUACUAUAGCUUGACACUGAACAUUGAGCCUUGAUGUGUAGGAUAGGUGGGAGGCUUUGAAGUGUGGACGCCAGUCUGCAUGGAGCCGACCUUGAAAUACCACCCUUUAAUGUUUGAUGUUCUAACGUGGACCCGUUACCCGGGUUGCGGACAGUGUCUGGUGGGUAGUUUGACUGGGGCGGUCUCCUCCUAAAGAGUAACGGAGGAGCACGAAGGUUGGCUAAUCCUGGUCGGACAUCAGGAGGUUAGUGCAAUGGCAUAAGCCAGCUUGACUGCGAGCGUGACGGCGCGAGCAGGUGCGAAAGCAGGUCAUAGUGAUCCGGUGGUUCUGAAUGGAAGGGCCAUCGCUCAACGGAUAAAAGGUACUCCGGGGAUAACAGGCUGAUACCGCCCAAGAGUUCAUAUCGACGGCGGUGUUUGGCACCUCGAUGUCGGCUCAUCACAUCCUGGGGCUGAAGUAGGUCCCAAGGGUAUGGCUGUUCGCCAUUUAAAGUGGUACGCGAGCUGGGUUUAGAACGUCGUGAGACAGUUCGGUCCCUAUCUGCCGUGGGCGCUGGAGAACUGAGGGGGGCUGCUCCUAGUACGAGAGGACCGGAGUGGACGCAUCACUGGUGUUCGGGUUGUCAUGCCAAUGGCACUGCCCGGUAGCUAAAUGCGGAAGAGAUAAGUGCUGAAAGCAUCUAAGCACGAAACUUGCCCCGA